Molecule: long non-coding RNA, 543 nt
Organism: Hippocampus zosterae (dwarf seahorse)
Lineage: Eukaryota; Metazoa; Chordata; Actinopteri; Syngnathiformes; Syngnathidae
Exons: 3
Source: RefSeq, a predicted model, not a curated record
CUCCUUCGCCUCCUCCGAGGCGUCCAGGGUAGGUGCAUAGGCGCUGAUGAUCACAAGGGGUUGGGAUUGACACAGAGCUCGUCCGCUCCAGAAGAAGGUGUACCCGUGCCGAGGCUCCUCGAUCUGCCCGGCACCAGGGAGACGGGUCUCGGAGAGGGCCACAAUGGCCAGGCCGAGCUUCUGAAUCUCAAGGGCGAUGAGGGCAGUCCUGCGCUCCGGUCUAUUUGCUCUUGCAUUGUCCAUCAGGGAUGAAUCUGCUGGAGGCGGGUCUCCAGCCGAUCGGUGGCGGUGAUGGGUGUGUUUAGGCCGCCUUUUAUUGGCCCUUCCUCGGAUUGAGGGGAGCAGCGCUACGACUAAAGAGUCCUGCUCCGCCAGCGUGGUCGCUGCCUCUCCCCUGCACCAUCACCAGUUCGCAAGGGGAGCGACCAUCGUGCCACGGCCGCCGACGUGUGGUUGUGGAACUAGGGACGUGUGCCCUCAUCUGAGCCUGUCCCCGACGCCCCGCGCCAUCGCCGCCGGACUUCUUGAGGUUAAGGGGAUCGG